CGAGUAUCCCCAGUGCCGGAGUGAGGAUGUUAAGUCCACUGCCUGGGGAGUACGGUCGCAAGGCUGAAACUUAAAGGAAUUGGCGGGGGAGCACAGCAACGAGAGGAGCGUGCGGUUUAAUUGGAUUCAACGCCGGAAAACUCACCAGUGCCGACGGACAUAUGAAGAUCAGCGUGAUGAGCUUAUUGGAUUGUUCGAGAGGUAGUGCACGGCCGUCGUCAGUUCGUACCGUAAGGCGUUCUGUUAAGUCAGAUAACGAACGAGACCCCUAUCGUCUAUUUGCUAAACGGAUCUCCGGAUUCGUCGCACUAUAGCGAGACCGCUGGCGUGAAGUCAGAGGAAGGUGGGGGCAACGACAGGUCAGUAUGCUCCGAAUGCACUGGGCUACACGCGCGCUACAAAGGCCAGGACAAUGGGUCUGCCACGCCGAGAGGCGGCACUAUCCCGAAACCUGGUCGUAGUUCGGAUCGAGGGCNGUAAUUCGCCCUCGNGAAGCUGGAUUUCGUAGUAAUCGCGUCUCAAAACUGGCGCGGUGAAUAUGCCCCUUCUCCUUGCC
This 556-nucleotide ribosomal RNA is filed under the name uncultured marine bacterium. RNAcentral describes it as "bacterial SSU rRNA". It matches the Rfam family "Archaeal small subunit ribosomal RNA", at positions 786 to 1341 of the family's 1478-position model. The record is from RNAcentral.